UUAGCAUGGAAUAAUAAAAUAGGACGCGUGGUUCUAUUUUGUUGGUUUCUAGGACCGCCGUAAUGAUUAAUAGGGACAGUCGGGGGCAUCAGUAUUCAAUUGUCAGAGGUGAAAUUCUUGGAUCUAUUGAAGACUAACUACUGCGAAAGCAUUUGCCAAGGAUGUUUUCAUUGAUAAGGAACGAAAGUUAGGGGAUCGAAGACGAUCAGAUACCGUCGUAGUCUUAACUAUAAACUAUGCCGACUAGGGAUCGGACGAUGUUAUUUUUUGACUCGUUCGGCACCUUUCGAGAAAUCAAAGUGCUUGGGCUCCAGGGGGAGUAUGGUCGCAAGGCUGAAACUUAAAGAAAUUGACGGAAGGGCACCACCAGGGGUGGAACCUGCGGCUUAAUUUGACUCAACACGGGGAAACUCACCAGGUCCAGACACAGUGAGGAUUGACAGAUUGAUAGCUCUUUCUUGAUUCUGUGGGUGGUGGUGCAUGGCCGUUCUUAGUUGGUGGAGUGAUUUGUCUGCUUAAUUGCGAUAACGAACGAGACCUUAACCUGCUAAAUAGCCCUUAUUGCUUCGGCAGUAUGCUGGCUUCUUAGAGGGACUAUCGGCUCAAGCCGAUGGAAGUUUGAGGCAAUAACAGGUCUGUGAUGCCCUUAGAUGUCCUGGGCCGCACGCGCGUUACACUGACAAAGCCAGCGAGUAUUUCCUUGGCCGGAAGGCCCGGGUAAUCUUGUUAAACUUUGUCGUGCUGGGGAUAGAGCAUUGCAAU
Molecule: ribosomal RNA, 762 nt
Filed under: uncultured Sordariomycetes
Lineage: Eukaryota; Fungi; Ascomycota; Sordariomycetes
Description: SSU rRNA
Rfam family: Eukaryotic small subunit ribosomal RNA
Source: RNAcentral